This 513-nucleotide ribosomal RNA is filed under the name uncultured bacterium. RNAcentral describes it as "partial 16S ribosomal RNA". It matches the Rfam family "Bacterial small subunit ribosomal RNA", at positions 28 to 523 of the family's 1533-position model. The record is from RNAcentral.
GACGAACGCUGGCGGCAUGCCUAAUACAUGCAAGUCGAGCGAACAGAUGAAGUGCUUGCACUUCUGACGUUAGCGGCGAACGGGUGAGUAACACGUAAGGAAUCUACCUAUAAGCGGGGGAUAACAUUCGGAAACGGGUGCUAAUACCGCAUAAUAUCUUCUUCCGCAUGGAAGAAGAUUGAAAGACGGCUCUGCUGUCACUUAUAGAUGACCUUGCGGUGCAUUAGUUAGUUGGUGGGGUAACGGCCUACCAAGACGAUGAUGCAUAGCCGACCUGAGAGGGUGAUCGGCCACAUUGGGACUGAGACACGGCCCAAACUCCUACGGGAGGCAGAAGUAGGGAAUCUUCCGCAAUGGGCGAAAGCCUGACGGAGCAAUGCCGCGUGAGUGAAGAAGGCCUUCGGGUCGUAAAACUCUGUUAUAAGAGAAGAACAAAUUGUAGAGCAACUGCUACAGUCUUGACGGUAUCUUAUCAGAAAGCCACGGCUAACUACGUGCCAGCCGCCGCCGUAA